Molecule: ribosomal RNA, 497 nt
Filed under: uncultured bacterium
Lineage: Bacteria
Description: partial 16S ribosomal RNA
Rfam family: Bacterial small subunit ribosomal RNA
Source: RNAcentral
GAUGAACGCUGGCGGCGUGCCUAAUACAUGCAAGUCGAGCGAACAGACGAGGAGCUUGCUCCCCUGCCGUUAGCGGCGGACGGGUGAGUAACACGUGGAUAACCUACCUAUAAGACUGGGAUAACUUCGGGAAACCGGAGCUAAUACCGGAUAAUAUAUUGAACCGCAUGGAUCAAUAGUGAAAGACGGUUUUGCUGUCACUUAUAGAUGGAUCCGCGCCGCAUUAGCUAGUUGGUAAGGUAACGGCUUACCAAGGCGACGAUGCGUAGCCGACCUGAGAGGGUGAUCGGCCACACUGGAACUGAGACACGGUCCAGACUCCUACGGGAGGCAGCAGUAGGGAAUCUUCCGCAAUGGGCGAAAGCCUGACGGAGCAACGCCGCGUGAGUGAUGAAGGUCUUCGGAUCGUAAAACUCUGUUAUUAGGGAAGAACAAAUGUGUAAGUAACUAUGCACGUCUUGACGGUACCUAAUCAGAAAGCCACGGCUAACUACGUG